RNAcentral lists this long non-coding RNA (784 nucleotides) under Salvia miltiorrhiza (redroot sage). RNAcentral's name for it is "long non-coding RNA (SMIL_LNC005599)". Lineage: Eukaryota; Viridiplantae; Streptophyta; Magnoliopsida; Lamiales; Lamiaceae. The record is from RNAcentral.
UUUUAUUUUUAUUUUUUUCAAAAAGAGGCCUCCCACCCCCAAUCUGUCGUCUCUCUCUCUUGAAGCUAGGAUACAAGAACGUGAAGCUGCAUAUUUCGGAGACAGGGUGGCCGUCGAAGGGGGACGCCGACGAGGCGGGAGCAUCGCCGGAGAAUGCACAGAUACAACGGGAACCUGCUGAAGCUGCUGAAUCAUAACAAGGGGACGCCGAUGAGGCCCAACAUAUUGAAGCCCGACGGCACACGCCCGUCUAUAGUCUCUCCAGCUCUAACACCCGUCGCUACCCAGUCGGUCGCUUCUCCGCUUGCGGCUUCCGUUUCCCUGAUUCUCUUAGCCGCUGCAUCCUUCAGUCUCUUCUAAGUUGAUGCUCAGAUUGGGUGUAUUUUUUGCUGUUGUUGAGAACGCCGACCGCUGUGAUGAUUCAUCUCCGGGAGUUAGUUCUUUAGAUAUCGAUGCAUAGAUUUAUUUAUUUCAGCCCCAGCUAUUUCUUGUUAAUGUUUAUGAUAUUGAGAAUGAAUUCUUGUGAUUUUAUUUUAUUUUUUUCAAAAAGAGUUUCUCAAGUGAGUAAAUUUAAUCAAUGUGUGAUGAUAUUGAUAACUGCAAACAGAAGAGUCCGGCUGAAUUCUGAUCAUAUGACGUGGUCUCUCUCUCUCUCUCNCUAGUGUGAUGAUAUUGUAUAACUAGCAAACAACGAAGAAGUACCGGCCGUCGAAUUACUGAUCAUAUGACGUGGUCUCUCUCUCUCUCUCUCUCUCUCUCUCUCUCUCUCUCUCUUUCUCUCUCU